AAUAAAAUGCCUGACAACAAAAGGGUUAUCUUGAUAGGAUAAAUUAUGUAAUUUUAUUACUUUUAUUA
This 68-nucleotide transfer RNA is filed under the name Alectorobius rioplatensis. Its description in RNAcentral is "tRNA-Ile". The record is from RNAcentral. Lineage: Eukaryota; Metazoa; Arthropoda; Arachnida; Ixodida; Argasidae.